RNAcentral lists this transfer RNA (20 nucleotides) under Edmundoa ambigua. RNAcentral describes it as "partial tRNA-Leu". The record is from RNAcentral. Lineage: Eukaryota; Viridiplantae; Streptophyta; Magnoliopsida; Poales; Bromeliaceae.
AAAAUCCGUCGACUUAAAUC